Molecule: non-coding RNA, 103 nt
Organism: Cronartium quercuum f. sp. fusiforme G11
Lineage: Eukaryota; Fungi; Basidiomycota; Pucciniomycetes; Pucciniales; Coleosporiaceae
Source: the annotation of a GenBank genome assembly
GGCCUGAUGGUCUAGUAGUAUGAUUCGCCCUUCGGGUUUUCAAGAACCCCUUGGAUUUCUAAGUGAUUGGGCGAGGUCCCGGGUUCAAUUCCCGGUCAGGCCC